RNAcentral lists this unclassified non-coding RNA (457 nucleotides) under uncultured Prochlorococcus sp. RNAcentral's name for it is "partial may contain 16S ribosomal RNA, 16S-23S ribosomal RNA intergenic spacer, and 23S ribosomal RNA". The stretch from base 289 to 361 matches the Rfam family "tRNA". Lineage: Bacteria; Bacillati; Cyanobacteriota; Cyanophyceae; Synechococcales; Prochlorococcaceae. The record is from RNAcentral.
CGCCGAAGGUGGGGCUAAUGACUGGGGUGAAGUCGUAACAAGGUAGCCGUACCGGAAGGUGCGGCUGGAUCACCUCCUAACAGGGAGACAACAAAAUGUAAAUAUUAAUUUUGUCACCUUAGGUCGAUCGGUAUCUCAGAUUCUUAUUUUUAAGAAUUUCAGUUUCUAAGUUUUUUCUAGGUCACACCCAUUACUUUUUCCUGGGCCAUUAGCUCAGGUGGUUAGAGCGCACCCCUGAUAAGGGUGAGGUCCCUGGUUCAAGUCCAGGAUGGCCCAUAUCUCUAUGUUGGGGGUAUAGCUCAGUUGGUAGAGCGCCUGCUUUGCAAGCAGGAUGUCAGCGGUUCGAGUCCGCUUACCUCCACUGAAUACCACCUCUUACAUAUUUUUAAAGGGGAAAAUUGUUUUGAGUUGUGUCCUAAUUUGCUCUGAGUGAAUCUAGCUUCCUAUUUUUUUUUUU